GACGAACGCUGGCGGCGUGCCUAAUACAUGCAAGUCGAGCGAAUCGANGGGAGCUUGCUCCCUGAGAUUAGCGGCGGACGGGUGAGUAACACGUGGGCAACCUGCCUAUAAGACUGGGAUAACUUCGGGAAACCGGAGCUAAUACCGGAUACGUUCUUUUCUCGCAUGAGAGAAGAUGGAAAGACGGUUUACGCUGUCACUUAUAGAUGGGCCCGCGGCGCAUUAGCUAGUUGGUGAGGUAAUGGCUCACCAAGGCGACGAUGCGUAGCCGACCUGAGAGGGUGAUCGGCCACACUGGGACUGAGACACGGCCCAGACUCCUACGGGAGGCAGCAGUAGGGAAUCUUCCGCAAUGGACGAAAGUCUGACGGAGCAACGCCGCGUGAACGAAGAAGGCCUUCGGGUCGUAAAGUUCUGUUGUUAGGGAAGAACAAGUACCAGAGU
Molecule: ribosomal RNA, 444 nt
Filed under: Bacillus sp. (in: firmicutes)
Lineage: Bacteria; Bacillati; Bacillota; Bacilli; Caryophanales; Bacillaceae
Description: bacterial SSU rRNA
Rfam family: Bacterial small subunit ribosomal RNA
Source: RNAcentral